Non-coding RNA from Mycena crocata, 93 nucleotides. Lineage: Eukaryota; Fungi; Basidiomycota; Agaricomycetes; Agaricales; Mycenaceae. The record is from the annotation of a GenBank genome assembly.
GCCUUUGUAGAUCAACGGUAGAUCGCCUGGAAAAUAUGAGCUGGUGUGAUCAAAGUUCUCGAGGAAACGUGAGUUCAACUCUCAUCGGAGGCG